AACGAACGCUGGCGGCAUGCCUAACACAUGCAAGUCGAACGAGACCUUCGGGUCUAGUGGCGCACGGGUGCGUAACGCGUGGGAACCUGCCCUUAGGUUCGGAAUAACUCCCCGAAAGGGGUGCUAAUACCGGAUAAUGUCUUCGGACCAAAGAUUUAUCGCCUUUGGAUGGGCCCGCGUUGGAUUAGCUAGUUGGUAGGGUAAAAGCCUACCAAGGCGACGAUCCAUAGCUGGUCUGAGAGGAUGAUCAGCCACACUGGGACUGAGACACGGCCCAGACUCCGACGGGAGGGAGCAGGGGGGAAUAUUGGACAGGGGGGACAGCCCUAAUCCGCCAACGCCGCGGGAGUGAUGAAGCCCUUAGGGUUGUAAAGCUCUUUUACCCGGGAUAAUAAUGCCAGCCCCGGGAAAAAAAGCCCCGGCCAACUCCGU
This 432-nucleotide ribosomal RNA is filed under the name uncultured bacterium. RNAcentral describes it as "partial 16S ribosomal RNA". It matches the Rfam family "Bacterial small subunit ribosomal RNA", at positions 29 to 506 of the family's 1533-position model. The record is from RNAcentral.